This 90-nucleotide ribosomal RNA is filed under the name Ochotona princeps (American pika). The record is from RNAcentral. Lineage: Eukaryota; Metazoa; Chordata; Mammalia; Lagomorpha; Ochotonidae.
CAUACCACCCUGAACGCGCCUGAUCUCAUCUGACCUUGGGAGCUAAGCAGGGUCGGGCCUGGUUAGUACUUGGAUGGGAGAGAGAAGGUC